RNAcentral lists this ribosomal RNA (219 nucleotides) under uncultured bacterium. Its description in RNAcentral is "partial 16S ribosomal RNA". It matches the Rfam family "Bacterial small subunit ribosomal RNA", at positions 328 to 539 of the family's 1533-position model. The record is from RNAcentral.
ACGCUCGACACCUACGGGAGGCAGCAGUGAGGAAUAUUGGUCAAUGGGCGCUAGCCUGAACCAGCCAAGUAGCGUGAAGGAUGAAGGCUCUAUGGGUCGUAAACUUCUUUUAUAUAAGAAUAAAGUGCAGUAUCGUAUACUGUUUUGUAUGUAUUAUAUGAAUAAGGAUCGGCUAACUCCGUGCCAACAGCCGCGGUAAUCUGAGCGGGCUGGCAAGGC